CUCAAGCAAGUUUGUUAGAAGUAGCAACAACUUGUACAAGCUAGAACACUGAUGGGAAGCGUGUUCACAGCAGUUCAGAAGAGUACUGACAGUGACCUUCUCACUCGUUUUAGACUGACAGUUCAACGGAAUGAUCACUCCCAAUUCAAACUCAACAACCAAAUGGAUGAAUAAGACAGAUGAAUAACAGCACUUUCAUAACAACAAGGUCGAGGCACCAGGCAGGCUACUGUAUGCUGUUACAUGCAACCUCCUACGGAGCUGUGGAGAUAUGAUAAAAAGAAGGGAAAAAGAGAGUUUACUGGUUCUGAAUGUGUUUGCAUUGUGCCUUAAAGAGCUGCUGAAUUUCAUGUUUCAACUAGGUUUGCUAAUACAGCUUAAGUUAUGAAAGCACCUUCCUCCACCUGCUUCCUCACUCCCACCUUUUAUCCUUCAUUGCUGUGUGUGUGUGUGUGUGUGUGUGUGUGUGUGUGUGUGUGUGUGU
Molecule: long non-coding RNA, 484 nt
Organism: Protopterus annectens (West African lungfish)
Lineage: Eukaryota; Metazoa; Chordata; Ceratodontiformes; Protopteridae
Exons: 3
Source: RefSeq, a predicted model, not a curated record